GCCGAGUUGGUGCCACUGUACUCCAGCCUGGGCCACAGAGCGAGACUCCGUCUCAAAAAAAAAAAAAAAAAGAAAAUAUCCAGUGGGAACAAACCAUAGGGGAAUGAGUACCCUGAACUUGCCAGUGCUCUUGACAGGGUUGGAGGGGGGAGUUGGCUCUGGGGUCAGCAAAGCAGCUGACCAAAGAGCCCAUCUUGAGGCCACUCCUGAACGGCCCGUGUGCUCUGGGAAGACAUGUCCAUGGGGAUGUGGGCAGGAAGGGAGCCGGAACAUUUGGAGGCUCAAGUUGCUUUGCUGCGGGACCCCCUUGCCUAAGCAUAAAAUAGAAGGUGUUUUACGUGAAAGGAAACUCAGCUAUCUCAGGAUGUCAGGCUCUAGAGAGUGGGGCCAGAGCCCUCUGCAGCUGUGCAUGGAACACCAGAAGUGGCAGUGGAUUACAUGUGGGGAGUCUGGCCCUCACGGGGCACCUGGUUUUCUGCCCCACCCUCCCGACAAGCAAGAUGUGAGCAGAAAAAUACUAGUUUCCAGACAUGAGUCAGCACACUGGGUGAGUCUAUGAACUCCAGGCCAUAAGUUUGCCUUUGGCCAAGCAGAUGAGGCCCUAACCCAGAGAUGUGGGUAAUUAACAUAAUUUGCGUAAUUAAUUGGCCUGAUCUGGUCUCAUCUGGACCAUACAGGUCUGGCUAACAUUUGAGAUAUCAUUAGAGGUUAUUACAUGUUUCCCUAUUGACUUUGCUUGUGGGAGACUCUUUUUGAGUUUACCUGGUGGGGUGAGAAUUACUUCAUCGGGCUUACAGAGUGAAAUGCUGUGUCUGUAUUUUCAGCUCAGUGGUAUGCGGAGAAGGAGACAGGAGGCUGCGAGAUUGGCUUCUGGUAAUCCUAAGGCAAUUUAUAGAGGGGCAGACAGUCAGUCUAGACCAUCUUCAAAAUCCCAUCUGUAUUAGUUUGCUGGGGUGGCCAUAACAAAAUGCCACAGGCUGGGGGCUUAAACAACAGAAAUGUAUUUUCUCAGUCUGGAGGCUGAAAGGCUGAGAUCAAGGUGUUGGCAGGGUUAGUUUCUUUUGAGGCCUUUCUCUUUGGCUUGGAGAUGGCUGUCUUCUCCCUCUGUCUUUGUGUGGUCUUCCUUCUGUGCCUGUCUCUGUCCUAAUCUUCUCUCUGUUUUUUGUUUUUCAUUUUAUUUUAUUUUAUUUUAGUUUUUGAGACAGGGUCUUGCUCUGUCACACAGGCUGCAGUGCCAUGGCGCGUUCAUGGCUCAAUGCAACCUCGACCUCCCAGGCUUAAGCGACUCUCCCAUCUCAGCCUCCCAAAGUGCUGCAAUCCCAGGCAUGAAUGAGCCACCAUGCCCGGCCAAUCUUCUCUUCUUAUCAGGACAUCAGUCCUGUUGGAUUAGGUCCCACCAGUAUGACCUCACUUGACCUUAAUUACCUCUUUAAAGACUCUAUAUCCAAAUACAGUCACAUUGUGAGGUAUGGGCAUUUAGGACUUCAACAUGUAAGUUUUGGGGGACACGAUCCAGCCCAUAACAUCAUGCAGUCCCAAGAUGUAGAGAGUCUGGGUUCCCUCUCUGCUGCCAACUCCCCACAAACCCAUGCAUGACAUAUCCUUUCUGGACCCCAAUUUUUCCAUCUGCUCUGCCUCCUUCAAUUGAGAGGCUCAAAUUACUUAAUGUACAAGCAAGGGCUUUGUAAACCUCAUAGCAGUGGACCCCAGAGGUGCAGCACCAUCCCUAAGGAGCGUUUUGGAAAUCUGUGGGUGCAUGCGUUGGGUUGUCACAAUAUUUAGGGGGCUUCAUGACAUUGAGUGAGCAGGAGCCAGGGAGAUGUCCAGCGGUGUGAGAGAUGGUCACACAGGAUGAACUGUCCUGUGUUAUUCACCACUUUCUAAUAUCUUUUGUGCAUUUAUAUAGCUGAAAGAAAACCCCACAAUCAUUGGAACCUAGUACCUAAUUCUGUUUUACAUAUAAACACAAAGAAUUUAUUUUUGCAAAAUUUAAAUGUAUCCUUUUUACAGAAAAGCACAGUCAACCAAAUAGAGGGAAGAUUGUACCUUGUUUUGUUUGAAACUUUAAUAGAGUAUGCACCAGUUCAGAAAAUGCAUGUUGAUAUGGUUUGGCUGUGUCCCACCCAAAUCUCAUCUUGAAUUCCCACGUGUUGUGGGAGGGACCCGGUGGGAGAUAAUUUAAUUAUGAGGGCGGUUUCCCCCAUACUGUUCUCGUGGUAGUGAAUAAGUCUCACGAGAUCUGACGGUUUUAUAAGGGGAAACCCCUUUCGCUUGGCUCUCCGAUUCUCUCUUGCUGCUGCCCUGUCGGAAGUGCCUUUCACCUUCCGCCAUGAUUGUGAGGCCUCCCCAGCCACGUGGAACUGAGUCCAUGAAACCUCUUUUGCUUCCCGGUCUCAGGUAUGUCUUUAUCAGCAGCAUGAAAACGGACUAAUACACCUGUCUUCUACAACGCACAUUUAGAAAAUGUGUCUCCAAUGGCAGCGCUGUUUGGUGCUUGAGUCACAACGCAACAUUGCCCCGCUGCUCUUUGCGUGUAGCUAUCUCAUCCACCAUAGUCCUACAUGCAGGUGUCUACCUCAUUAUGUUUUCUACUAUAGCUGUGAAAUAUAGAAUCAUGAUUUGCUUUUCUUCUGUGCUUUCUCUGAUAGUCAAGGCAGUACAUAUUUUUUUUGAAAUUAUGAAUUGGGUUGUUACAUUAUCCGUGAAUUUCAUUCAAAGAUAGUUAAAGUGAGUGUUGAAUAUACAUUUAAAUAGGGGCGAUUACAUAGGGGUUGAGACGCCGUGCUCUAAGGCACCACUGAGCGCCCUCUUUUGCUGGGUAGUUCAACAGUGGCUGUCUUGGGGAUUGGCUUUUCUUCAGCUUCCUGGCAUAGCUGCACCCCACACAGCCCAGCAUGAGUGCAUGGCAGCAAAGCCCUCUCCAAAGGAAGGCAUCUUCUUUGCUUUUGUCAUUUCUCCUGUCUCUAACACCAGUGAGGUGCUGGCAUCUGCACUGGUCACUUAUCAUGAGUUUAGAUGACAAGGUUGGUCACCGUGGAGGCCUCUGGACCUCUGUCCUCCUGCUCGCUGGCACAGGAGAGCUUGUGGGUGAGGGCCCAUGGUAGAAAGAACAUUUCCCCUGAGCCCAGUUACCUGGGCCAAGUAGCUGGCUACAGCCUGGAGAAGCCAGGUCCCCUGGAAGCCGGGCUGGGGCGGAGCUGUGGGGACUGGCAUGGUCAUCACGACGUCACUGGGUGGGGCAGGGCGUUGGCGGGAAUCCACACCAGGGCAGGCCAGCUUGCCUCCCUGGCCACUUGUUUGUGUUCCAGCUUUGCUCCAAGCCUGGGUCCAGCCCCUGCCCCACUUUGGGGCUUCGGGGUUAACUAGUGGCACAUUUAAAUGAGGUCUGGCUCCCCAGAGACAGUCACCCUCUCCUGGGCGCUGCCUCUGAGCAGGCAGAUCCUGCCCCAACCUCUCUCCCUGGCCCAGAUUACCUUACCUGGGCUUAUUGCUCCAGGAAGACAUGGAACACCCACCAGAGAGAGGCCUCCUUGGUGUCUGUCAGAUCCUGUCCUCGCGGAUCCCUUGGGGGACCAAGGGCCACGUUCUGUUGUUUCUGCACCCCUACUGGGAAACACCAGGAGGAUCCUUCCUCCACUCCCUCCUCCUCCAGGCCUCCAUCUGAGAAGUCCCAGACACAAAGCCAUGCUCCUUCCUUGCCUACACACUGCCUCACCCCCACAGCAGCCCUGCAGCUCCUAUGGAGAGCGUCCUCCAUGAUCUGCGGCAGUGCUUGUCAAAAUGCAGAUUUCCAGGUCCUACUCAUAAAUUCUGGGGGUGCAGCCCUGGAAUCAGAAUUUUGAUAUAAGCUCUGAAGAUGAUUCUAUAGCUUUGGGAGCCCCUGGCUACAGUAUAAAGCUCAAAAGUCUGGAUGGCACCUGUGACCUACUCAGUUGGGUUCUCGUCUAUCUAUCCAGCCUCCUUUGUUGGAACCCGGCUCACAUUGAACUUGUCAUUGUUCCCCAACAUCCUGGGCUCUACCCUUUUCCAAUUCCUCUACACAUGCUCUUCCUUUUGCCUGGAGGACUGUCUUUCCUGUUCCCACUUUGCAAAUGCCUACCUAUCUUUUAGGACAAGAUCAAACAGCACCUCCUCCGGAAGCCUUCCUGCCUCCCUCCUGAUGAGCGUUUGCUUCUGCAGCGUGAUGUUAUGCCGUGAUUACAGCACUUCCCACCAUGCUCUGUCUUCGUCCCUUUACCCCCACACAGCAAUCGCCCCCAUCCAAUGUCAGCCCCUGGAAAGCAGGGCGGGUAUCUUAUUUAUCUUUAAAAUGCCAGCAACUACCACCAUUCCUGGUAUAGAGUGGAUAGUUGUAAAUAUUUAUGUAAGUUUAAGUGGUCUCUGGGACCCUGAUUUUCCAUCUUUUCUUAAAUGGGAUUCUGCCUUAGGCUGCUGGGCUUCAUUUAAACCUCAGUCAUUAAAAAGCAGUUCCUUUGUUUCCUCAGCAUGGUUCAUAUUUAGCCAAAGAGAUUUAUUUCUCCAAUAAACCCCACUCUCCAAACAGCCACAUUCAUCUGUUCCUCCUACUGAGAAAUGAAAGGGAGUCACCGGCUGCACCUAGAACUCCUGUGUCAGUGAAUGCAGAAAAGAGGACCAGGAAAAUUCAUUUAAAUCUUACUGCCAGCUGGUGAUCAAGUGGCUUCCCUGGCAUUCGUCUCCUGUGUUUGCAGGGUUAAGUGAGACUCUUUGGGAGGUGGGGGAAAAAUUCAAAACUCCUUUUUUGUUCUAUCAACUGUUUUUAAUUUAAUUUAAUUUUUUAACAGGAUUUCGCUCUGUUGCCCAGGCUGCAGUGUAGUGACUUGAUCUUGGCUCACGGCAGCCUUGACCUCCUGGAUUCAAGGGAUCCUCCAGCUUCAGCCUCCUGAGUAGCUGUGACUACAGGCACAUGCCACAUGCCCAGCUAUUUUUAAUUUUUGUAGGGUUGGAGUCUUGCUAUGUUGCCCAGGCUGGUCUUGAAUUCCUGACCUCAAGCGAUCCUCCCACCUUAGCCUCCCAAAAGUGCUGGGAUUACAGGCGUGAACCACUAUUCCUGCACUUUCUUUAAUCUUUAAUAUGAAAACAGGCAAUCUCAGGUUUGUGUUCUAAGCAGGUGGCUAACCCAUCAGGGAUUUUAGUGAUGACAAGGAUGGUUGUUAGCAAACCCAUAACUCCAUAAGAGACCAAGCUGGGGAUAUUUCCCAGCUCCUGGUGACCCAAGACUGCUGGAAAAUUUCUGCCUCACAUUGUGAAUUCAGGUACAAAUUCAGUCUGGAGAGGUGAGUGGGGCUGAAAGUCAUCUGAUUUUUUUCAGGACAGAUCUCGUCCCUUUUGUUUUUCCUAGUCAAGAAUUUUAUAGCUCUAAGGUUUCCUGCUGCUAAACUGUUUUCAUAGAUGCAAACCAACUGAUCUGGUAGAGAGGCUAUUGUAUUCUCUGCCAACUGAUUUCCAGCAGAAUUAAGGGGCUUCAGGGAAGGGAAGUAUGGCAAACACUAAUUGGACUGGCUGUGCACUGAGUUGGACACAAACAAUAUAGUCUUGCUCCUAGAAUUUUGAAACUUCAGAGUGUGAAAGGAACUUUGAAGGUCACCUUGUCCAACCACCUCCCCACUCCAUGCUUGAAUUCCGUUUGUGACAUCCCCAGCAAAUGAGGAUUAUCUAGCCCUUGUUCAAUCUCUUUCAAUGCCAGAGAACUCAUUACCCUUGGAGGCAGCCCAUUCCAUUUUCAUAUUGCUCUACUAGCCAGCUUUUUCAUAUGCUAGGCUGACAUCGGCUUCUUGCCUCUCUGUGACUUCCAAGGGUUGGACUUGCUUGUGCCUGCUUAUGUACAUAGAGAAAGUCUUCAAAGAUUUGUGGUUCUCUCCUGUCUAGGGUCAUCACGUCUGGUUCCCACACACUACCUCUGUGGAUGAUGGGAAUCUACGUUAUUUUUAUCCUUCUUCCACAUUAUGGAGGUAUCUGACAAAGAGCCAUUUGGGGUGAACUAUCAGUGCAUAGUUCACUUCUCCCCAAGAUGGGCAUGUGACUUCCAUGCACAGCCAUCCACACCAGAAUGGUGGCUGCCACUAUUUCAGUACCUGGCAUAGUGCUAGGCACAUAGGGAUACCCAAAUAGUUAUUGGAUAUAUAUGAGGAUGGAUGGAUGGAUGGUUGGAUGGAUGGAUGGGUGAUUGAAUAAAUAAAUAGAUAAAUGGAUGAAUGAAUAAAAGAAUGACUCAGUACAUGGAGAAAGCAAACUUGGAAAUAUUUAGAUCAAUCAAUAUCUAUGGAAGCUCCUCUAUACCAAUAUUGUGCUGUGUAAGGGAAGGGAGUGCUGGGAGACAAACGAGGUGUUUACAAAGAAGUACAGACAUAAUCUUUCUCCUAAUGUUGGAAACAAGCUAGACCCAAACCUGUGAAAACUUCUCCCUCUCCAGUUCUGAUGUUUAUGGACAUGUUGCAUAACAACUCACCAGGCCAGGCAUGGUGGUUCCUGCCUGUAAUCCCAGCUACUCAGGAGGCCGAGGUGGGAGGAUCACUUGAGCCUGAGAGGUAGAGGCUGCAGUGAGCUGUGAUCACACCACUGCAUCCAGCUGGGGCAACAGAGUGAGACCCUGUCUCAAAACAAAAACCAAAACAAAACCCAAAAGCCAGAAACCAAAACCAAACAAACAAAAAAUAACUCACUAGCAACAUAGUAAUUUGGGAUUGAAGUUAGAGCUAGAAGGGAUGUUAUUGACGAAUGGGUCACAUCUCCUAUUUUGCAGUAGAGAGCUGGAGAGGGAAAUGACUUACCCAAAAUCAGGACCAAUUCUGGAAUCCCUGUCUCUUGGCUCCUACACCUCUUUCCAGUAUGCUUUCUUUGUUUGGAGAUUAUUUUGUUUUCAUCCAAAUUUCUGUGUAUUUGCUCCAAAAUCGGCUUUGCAUUGACUGUGUAGACCUGGCUUUGGAUUCCAUAGACAACAUUUAUACAUUCACUUACUCAUUCUCCAUCCAGCCACACUUGGGGAAUAUCUGUUAUGUAUGAAGCCCUGUGCUAGGCUUUGGGAAUAGAAGAAUGAGACAUGGCCCCUUCCGUGAAAUAAUCUAGCAGAGAGAAAGACCCAUAAAUAAGCAAAAGGCAAUGUACUCAGGCUACAGAAGAGGUGUAGGUGCCCAGAAAAAGGAACAGCUAUCUCUGCUUGGGGACACAGAGAGGACCUUCCAGGCUUGAUAACAACUAAAGGGGUCUUGAAGGAUCAAUAGGAGUUUGCUGAUGGAUAAGUAGGGGAAGGCAUUUAAGCAGAGAAAAGGCAUUUGCUGUGGCAAGAGGCUUGAAAAGACCUAGCACCUGCUACAGCCCAGGGGAGGGAAGGAGCGUGGAAUGUAAGUUCACAAGCAGACCAGGCCCAUACUCUAAAAGGGUCUCCCGAGGCCCACCAAAGGGCAGUGUAGGAUGGCCUUAGACAUUCCGCAAUGAUUUAUUCUUGUGUCCUGAUGAAAUUUUGGACAGCAAGAGCCUCAGAAAAUGAGUCCAUUUGAAGUAGGAUUCUUUCAAAGACUUCAGUAUAACUUAGGAGUUAAAGAGUAAGCUACAAGUCAUAACUAGUUGUGCAAAGUGCAAUGCUUUGCAGAAAUUAUUUAGAUUUUUUGGCUUUCCCUUUGAUCAUUAGUAUCAAGGUGAAACAAUUCUCCAUGUGUGUAUAUUAUAAAUAACGUUGAAGUUAGUCUCCCUGGGUUUUUAUGUAAGGUUCGUAACAACCUCUAUGUGGAAGCCAGCAUGAAGUUGAAGAAAGCUUCAUGUGAUUUAAAUUUAAAGAUGGGCCAGAUAUGACCUGUGAUCAAUUUUCAGCGGCUGUUGUGCACUUGGGUUGCAGAGACAUUAAGGAAAGCUUGUAAACUACCUAAGAGAGCACUUAAAAAUCUAAUAAAUAAGAAAUACAAUGCCACUGUCAGAAGCCUUGAUGGAGGUUGGGGGGAGCCAGAGAAGUAAUUUGUGCAAUAAGUCCUGUGAAUUCCCAUUACUACUACUACUUUUUUUUUUUUCUUCAGACAGGCUAAAAAUAGAAGCCCCAAAUAAAUAUACAUCAGAGGUAGAAAAGAGAAACUGGUGAUUUUGAGUGAAUUGCUGCUUUAUGGCCUAA
This 8116-nucleotide long non-coding RNA is filed under the name Homo sapiens (human). RNAcentral describes it as "long non-coding RNA NONHSAT168816.1". The record is from RNAcentral. Lineage: Eukaryota; Metazoa; Chordata; Mammalia; Primates; Hominidae.